Molecule: ribosomal RNA, 234 nt
Filed under: uncultured bacterium
Lineage: Bacteria
Description: partial 16S ribosomal RNA
Rfam family: Bacterial small subunit ribosomal RNA
Source: RNAcentral
UGAGUAACCUGCCCUUAACUCUGGGAUAAGCCUGGGAAACUGGGUCUAAUACCGGAUAUGACUCCUCAUCGCAUGGUGGGGGGUGGAAAGCUUUUUUGUGGUUUUGGAUGGACUCGCGGCCUAUCAGCUUGUUGGUGAGGUAAUGGCUCACCAAGGCGACGACGGGUAGCCGGCCUGAGUGGGUGACCGGCCACACUGGGACUGAGACACGGCCCAGACUCCUACGGGAGGCAG